AUAUCAAUAAGCGGAGGAAAAGAAACCAACAGGGAUUGCCUCAGUAACGGCGAGUGAAGCGGCAACAGCUCAAAUUUGAAAUCUGGCUCUUUUCAGGGUCCGAGUUGUAAUUUGUAGAAGAUGCUUUCGGGUGUGGCUCCGGUUCUAAGUUCCUUUGGAAUAUGAUAUCAUAGAGGGUGAGAAUCCCGUAUGUGACCGGCUGCCUUCGCCUAGUGUGAAAGCUCUUUCGACGAGUCGAGUUGUUUGGGAAUGCAGCUCAAAAUGGGUAGGUAAUAUUUCAUUCUAAAGCUAAAUAUUGGCCAGAGACCGAUAGCGCACAAGUAGAGUGAUCGAAAGAUGAAAAGCACUUUGGAAAGAGAGUUAAACAGUAC
RNAcentral lists this ribosomal RNA (371 nucleotides) under uncultured fungus. Its description in RNAcentral is "eukaryotic LSU rRNA". It matches the Rfam family "Eukaryotic large subunit ribosomal RNA", at positions 40 to 398 of the family's 3401-position model. Lineage: Eukaryota; Fungi. The record is from RNAcentral.